GGGGGCGAAACGGCUUCGACGGGGAUAUAUAAGCACGGGCUGCAUGCCGAGGUUUCCAUCAGCCUCGUUAAACCGGUGGAAAUAAAUAUAGUCGCAGACGACUAUGACUACGCAGUAGCCGCCUAAACAGCGAGCGCUGCCGUCCUGCCUUGCUGCUCCUGCGAGCCUGGUAAAGGGCGUCGACUAGCGGGAUAGCUUCCGGGCAAGCCUGAGUCCCGACGGCGAAACCAAUCAGGAUAGUGUCGCGGAUUUCUCGCCUUGGUGGAAAAACCGGCACGAUAAAUCAACUCUCCAGGGCUAAGCAUGUAGGCGCCUGCAGCGGCGUAUUUUCGGACCCGGGUUCAACUCCCGGCGCCUCCACCA
This 363-nucleotide transfer-messenger RNA is filed under the name Desulfobulbaceae bacterium. It matches the Rfam family "transfer-messenger RNA". Rfam says of the family: Bacterial tmRNA, also known as 10Sa RNA or SsrA, is named for its dual tRNA and mRNA-like properties. Its role is to liberate the mRNA from a stalled ribosome. The record is from RNAcentral. Lineage: Bacteria; Pseudomonadati; Thermodesulfobacteriota; Desulfobulbia; Desulfobulbales; Desulfobulbaceae. RNAcentral also lists the same sequence under 1 other name.